Molecule: ribosomal RNA, 253 nt
Filed under: uncultured bacterium
Lineage: Bacteria
Description: partial 16S ribosomal RNA
Rfam family: Bacterial small subunit ribosomal RNA
Source: RNAcentral
UACGUAGGUGGCAAGCGUUGUCCGGAUUUAUUGGGUUUAAAGGGUGCGUAGGUGGCUAUCUAAGUCAGUGGUGAAAUAUCUCAGCUUAACUGAGAGGGUGCCAUUGAUACUGGAUAGCUUGAGUACAGAUGAGGUAGGCGGAAUUGACGGUGUAGCGGUGAAAUGCAUAGAUAUCGUCAAGAACACCGAUAGCGAAGGCAGCUUACCAAGCUGUAACUGACACUGAGGCACGAAAGUGUGGGGAUCAAACAGG